This is a long non-coding RNA of Conger conger (European conger), 799 nucleotides long. RefSeq lists it as uncharacterized. The record is from RefSeq and is a predicted model, not a curated record. NCBI's taxonomy places the organism in Eukaryota, Metazoa, Chordata, Actinopteri, Anguilliformes, Congridae. The transcript has 4 exons.
UGCGCAUGGAGACGCAGGUCUGGCUGGGGUCCAUGGAGAAAACGGACAUGAAGAGUGGUCUGUUGAAGUCAAACGUGACAGCGACGCGCACGAUACCGCUGGGUAAACCCAAAUCGGGACGUAUAUGGAAAGACAGGAAUAAACAGGUUCUCUGCCCUGUUGCGGGGCAAAACUCUGCGGUCCACCUCGGAGAAGAAAAUGGAGGCCAAGAGAGAGAAGGAGCUGGUGAAUAAAUUUUCCCUGCAGCUCAAGGAAGAGAGAGAAAGAGGAAAAGAGAAAACGGAGGGAGGAAACCCUGAAAAGACGUGAGGAAAACGAGCGGAAGGCAGAGAUUGUGCAAGUGAUCCGAAAUAUGAAGAGGAUGAAGAAGAAACAACUAAGGAAGAUUGAGAAGAGGGAUACACUUGCCCUGCUGCAGAAGUCACAGCCUAGGAAUCAAAAUACUGCCAGGAAAGGUAGCAAGGGGAGCCAGUGAAGAAGAUUUUCUAAUGCAGUACAUAUGUAAUCUGUUGUCUGAGCUGGAAUUUUUAUUUGGCCUCUACAUACAAAGUGUACAUUUUCUUAUGAUGAACAUGAGUUGUGCAACUCUUUGUAUGCAAGUAAACAAAGACGGUGUUUGGCCACCAUUACCUGUCUAUUCUGCAAGAAACCAAAACUGAAAAAGACGGGUGUCUCUGCCUGUAACAAUGUGACCUAGAAAAUAUUGUCAUCCAUGUUUUGAAAACAAAACACUCUAUGUUCCGCUAUAUUUUCCUAAAGAAUAUUAAGGGAUGAAUACAUGAUUAAUUGCUUCCCUGUG